GACCUUUUAAGUCAUAUCCUUGUGGUAAUUUGAUUUCCCUCUGCAUUAAAGACAUUAACAUUUUAAGUGUCUUAGAUGCUGAUGUGACACAUGGACCAGUGGAAAUGGUGGUUUUGCAUGUGCUGGCAUUCAGCCCCUCUGAGCAACGUCCCAAACACCAAACUGCUUUUGGAGCAUCUUUGCCCCAAAAGGAGCUGCUACCGUGCUGAAAUUAGAGCCCAGAUCACUCUUCAGAGAAUCAAUUUGCCUGAUCCUUGGGGGAUAUGACAUUAGCAUGGUGGCUAUCAUCAGUCAGAGGGCUCCCUGAUCUGCAGGCACGACCUACCAGCAGGAUCUGAGCAGGAUCACCAGGUCCCUGGCCUAGGUCACCCUCAGGGUGGCAGUGGCUCGCUACAAGGGUGCACUGCAAGGAGGCAGUGGAAGAUUGUGCAGCACCUGCAAGGACCCAGUCCCCUUCUGUGUGGGAUGUGUUAGCAGCUGAAGAGCUGAGCUCCUGCUUUUCUUUAUGUGCUCUCCUGACUCAGCCGAUCCCUGUUACAAGCACAGCUGCACUCAAGAGAAGAACAUGUUAUGAAGAGAGUUCAAACUGGCUCUUCUGCUGUGGAAACCACAUCUGUUCAAGCUGGCAUGGAGGACUGUUCUCAGGAGGAGGGAGAUGCAAAGUUCAAGGGAACUGCCUGCGAAGACACACAGUGACGGCGCUGGGUUAUAUAAUGUGCCUUGGUGUGAGGAAGCUCUUUGUUCUAUUUACAAAUCCCUGUAUUACUGACAAGGAAACUUUGAUGGCUGCCUUCCAAAGACAACAAUGAAGAAAGAAAGAAAGAAAGGGAGAAAGUCCUCCAAAAUGUUGAGAAGUUCUGUUUUUUGUACCAGUAGAGAUGAGAAAGAUUCCAGACUCUCCAAGAUAUUGGCAAAUGGUGGAAGCUUUUCCAGUUCAAGCUGCAAUUUUCCCCAAGUCCCACAUCUGUUCUACUGCAGAGCUGCAUAUUAACCCUGCUUUUCUGGGUAAAAAAUUAUGUAAAUAAACCAAUUUGCUUUCUAAAACUAUUACUGCCU
Molecule: long non-coding RNA, 1056 nt
Filed under: Junco hyemalis (dark-eyed junco)
Lineage: Eukaryota; Metazoa; Chordata; Aves; Passeriformes; Passerellidae
Description: lncRNA (ENSJHYG00000000666.1)
Source: RNAcentral